GCCAUUAAUUGCCAUCAUUUAGUUGGGCACUUUAAUGGGACUGCCGGUGACAAACCGGAGGAAGGUGGGGAUGACGUCAAGUCCUCAUGGCCCUUAUGGCCAGGGCUUCACACGUAAUACAAUGGUCGGUACAGAGGGUUGCCAACCCGCGAGGGGGGAGCCAAUCCCAGAAAGCCGAUCGUAGUCCGGAUUGUAGUCUGCAACUCGACUACAUGAAGUCGGAAUCGCUAGUAAUCGCGGAUCAGCAUGUCGCGGUGAAUGCGUUCCCGGGCCUU
RNAcentral lists this ribosomal RNA (275 nucleotides) under uncultured Methylophilaceae bacterium. RNAcentral describes it as "partial 16S ribosomal RNA". It matches the Rfam family "Bacterial small subunit ribosomal RNA", at positions 1107 to 1382 of the family's 1533-position model. Lineage: Bacteria; Pseudomonadati; Pseudomonadota; Betaproteobacteria; Nitrosomonadales; Methylophilaceae. The record is from RNAcentral.